This 255-nucleotide ribosomal RNA is filed under the name uncultured bacterium. RNAcentral describes it as "partial 16S ribosomal RNA". It matches the Rfam family "Bacterial small subunit ribosomal RNA", at positions 524 to 776 of the family's 1533-position model. The record is from RNAcentral.
UACGGGGGGAGCAAGCGUUGUUCGGAUUUACUGGGCGUAAAGGGCGCGUAGGCGGCCACCGCAAGUCGACUGUGAAAUCUCUGGGCUUAACCCAGAACGGUCAGCUGAUACUGCGGGGCUAGAGUGCAGAAGGGGCAACUGGAAUUCUCGGUGUAGCGGUGGAAUGCGUAGAUAUCGAGAGGAACACCUGCGGCGAAGGCGGGUUGCUGGGCUGACACUGACGCUGACAGCGCGAAAGCUAGGGGAGCGAACGGG